UAAGGAGGCGGCCGCAUACGACUUCGACGCGGACCGCAGACCAGCGCUAAUCUCGUCGGGGCCUCUGACCAGCUCUAGUGUCGCCGGGGGCCGCCGCGAUGAAGCCUCUCGACCGCGGCGGGGAAGCGGUUGGUGGAAUCUUCCUCGGCGUUGACUUCACGAAGCCGGCCGGCCGCCCGGCACGUUGUCUCCCUCGGCGCACUAAGGGGCGUGGGGCUCAUGGUGUGCUUCCAGUUUAAGCUCUGGUGGAUGGCGCAGCGGAUAGGCGAGGAGCAUGCAGGUGUUAUCGAUAUCGAUUUCAACAAAGAUCGAUUACUGGAUCUUAACGAAGAUAUGAUGCAAUCAGAGCAGCAAGCCUUGGAUGCGCCAGCAACGAAAGAGGAUUUGGAAACGGGCUCACUGGGCCAACAAGACGGAAUGGGAAGGUACGUUCUAGCAUAUGAGUAGUCAUGUUCUCGAUGAAUUAGUCGUGUGCAUUUGCAAAUGUUCCAUGAUUUAGACAGUGAGCAGCAUGAUUCAUCAUGUGGCUUCAGUGAAUCAAGCAAACCAUAUGGGGGGCAGAACAAAUUGUUCGUAUACGUGCAGAGGAACGGCGAUGACGACUAAACGGCAGCCAGAUCUCGUGCAUUGUGUUGAAUCUUGCUUAGCAAAGCUGCUGCGGCUGGAUCUGGCAUCCAGGCCAAGUGCUCCAUGUGUUCACGCUGCACUGAAGCUCGAGCUCCUGCCUCUGGGUGCGCAAGCUGCAGUGCUUCCUUGAGGGAGCAUCACUUGUUCCUGUGCAUUGCCUCAAUAAGCAGUAACCGGUGGAGGGCGAUGCUAGGCAUCACAGCACAAUGCCGGCCAAGAGUGCUGAAUCAGGCUAUUAUUCAGUCUAUUAUGCUAAGAUGUACAAUGGACCUAAACUGAACUGAAAAUGUUCAAGGGAAUGGAGAAAUUUUUUCAUGCUACAAGCUAUCGAAGAUUUAUGGUCACCAAUCGGAGAUAUAGAUCAGACUUGGCUGUCGUGUUUCAUUUUGGAGACAUCAGGAUCUGUUCGUGUCAUUCCAAUAGUAUCUAGUUAAAAGAUUUCCCGUGUUCUAUGUGCACGUAAAGAUCUCAUGUACAUAGUCCUUCCUUACUAGCUUAUAUACUUUAUGUUGCAAGUAUGUUGUAACUACUAUCGAAUUGUUCCCACAUGCUUUAUUUUUGGGGCAUCAAGGCCUGUUUGAUAAAUUUUUAUGCCCCCGAUAAGCUUCGUAUUU
Molecule: long non-coding RNA, 1241 nt
Organism: Panicum virgatum (switchgrass)
Lineage: Eukaryota; Viridiplantae; Streptophyta; Magnoliopsida; Poales; Poaceae
Exons: 4
Source: RefSeq, a predicted model, not a curated record